UACGGGGGGGGCAAGCGUUGUUCGGAAUUACUGGGCGUAAAGGGCUCGUAGGCGGCCAACUAAGUCAAACGUGAAAUCCCUCGGCUUAACCGGGGAACUGCGCUUGAUACUGGAUGGCUUGAGAUUGGGAGAGGGAUGCGGAAUUCCAGGUGUAGCGGUGAAAUGCGCAGAUAUCAGGAAGAACACCCGUGGCGAAGGCGGCUCUCUGGGACGGUACUGACGCUGAGACGCGAAAGCUAGGGUAGCAAACGGG
This 253-nucleotide ribosomal RNA is filed under the name uncultured bacterium. Its description in RNAcentral is "partial 16S ribosomal RNA". It matches the Rfam family "Bacterial small subunit ribosomal RNA", at positions 524 to 776 of the family's 1533-position model. The record is from RNAcentral.